UUGAACGCUGAUGGUAUGCUUAACACAUGCAAGUCGGACGGCAGCACGGUUGGUAGCAAUACCGAUGGGUGGCGAGUGGCGGACGGGUGAGGAACGCGUAGGAAUCUGCCUUUUGGUGGGGGACAACCUAGGGAAACUUGGGCUAAUACCGCAUAAAACAGAGAUGUUAAAGGCGCGAGUCGCCAAAAGAUGAGCCUGCGUUGGAUUAGCUAGUUGGUAGGGUAAAGGCCUACCAAGGCGACGAUCCAUAGCUGUUCUGAGAGGAAGAUCAGCCACACUGGGACUGAGACACGGCCCAGACUCCUACGGGAGGCAGCAGUGGGGAAUAUUGGACAAUGGGGGAAACCCUGAUCCAGCAAUACCAUGUGUGUGAAGAAGGCCUUAGGGUUGUAAAGCACUUUUGUCAGUGAGGAAGGGGGACGUAAGUCUCCUUGACGUUAGCUGAAGAAAAAGCACCGGCAAACUCUGU
RNAcentral lists this ribosomal RNA (469 nucleotides) under uncultured bacterium. RNAcentral describes it as "bacterial SSU rRNA". It matches the Rfam family "Bacterial small subunit ribosomal RNA", at positions 30 to 506 of the family's 1533-position model. The record is from RNAcentral.